UACGUAGGGGCGAGCGUUGUCCGGAAUUAUUGGGUUUAAAGGGUGCGUAGGCGGCCAUUUAAGUCAGCGGUGAAAUUUUGCAGCUUAACUGUAACAGUGCCGUUGAUACUGGGGAGCUAGGAUUUGGUUGAUGUGGGUGGAAUGUGUGGUGUAGCGGUGAAAUGCUUAGAGAUCACACAGAAUAUCGAUUGCGAAGGCAGCUCACAAAGCCAAGAUUGACGCUGAGGCACGAAAGUGUGGGGAUCAAACAGGAUUAGA
This 258-nucleotide ribosomal RNA is filed under the name uncultured prokaryote. Its description in RNAcentral is "partial 16S ribosomal RNA". It matches the Rfam family "Bacterial small subunit ribosomal RNA", at positions 524 to 782 of the family's 1533-position model. The record is from RNAcentral.